RNAcentral lists this transfer RNA (72 nucleotides) under Ictidomys tridecemlineatus (thirteen-lined ground squirrel). RNAcentral's name for it is "Spermophilus tridecemlineatus (thirteen-lined ground squirrel) tRNA". It matches the Rfam family "tRNA". Rfam says of the family: Transfer RNA (tRNA) molecules are approximately 80 nucleotides in length. Lineage: Eukaryota; Metazoa; Chordata; Mammalia; Rodentia; Sciuridae. The record is from Rfam by way of RNAcentral.
GGGGAUGUAGCUCAGUGGUAGAGUGCUCACCUAGCAGGUGUGAGGCCCUGAGUUUGAUCUCUAGCAGCACCC